This 1501-nucleotide ribosomal RNA is filed under the name metagenome. RNAcentral describes it as "bacterial LSU rRNA". It matches the Rfam family "Bacterial large subunit ribosomal RNA", at positions 1346 to 2925 of the family's 2925-position model. The record is from RNAcentral.
UCAGGUUUCUGGAGGAAGGUUCGUCCGCUCCAGGUUAGUCGGGAGCUAAGGUGAGGCCUAACGGCGUAGCCGAUGCACAGACGGUAGAGAUUCCGUCACCACCAAAAGAGUUAAACACAGGGACACAUUUGAAGUCUCGGAGCCGGGUGUUGGUUCCGGUAGUGAUCGAGGGAAGUUAGUACCGAAGUCCGGGAUGGAAGAUGGCGAGAAAAGCUGUGUGUAUUUCUGCGGUGCCCGUACCGCAAACCGACACAGGUAGGUAGGAAGAAGAUUCUAAGGCCAACGGGAGAAGGGUUGUUAAGGAACUCGGCAAAUUGACCCCGUAACUUCGGGAGAAGGGGUGCUCCAGAGAUGGAGCCGCAGAGAAUCGGCCCAAGCAACUGUUUACCAAAAACACAGGUUUGUGCUAAAUCGAAAGAUGACGUAUACGAGCUGACGCCUGCCCGGUGCUGGAAGGUUAAGAGGAGAUGUGCAAGCAUUGAAUCGAAGCCCCAGUGAACGGCGGCCGUAACCAUAACGGUCCUAAGGUAGCGAAAUUCCUUGUCAGGUAAGUUCUGACCCGCAUGAAAGGCGUAAUGAUUUGGGCACUGUCUCGACAGCCCGCCCGGCGAAAUUGUAGUACCGGUGAAGAUGCCGGUUACCCGCGACAAGACGGAAAGACCCCAUGGAGCUUUACUGUAGCCUAAUAUUGGGUUUCGAUGUUGCAUGCACAGGAUAGAUGGGACACUGGGAAGCAAGUGCUUUGGCAUUUGUGGAGUGGCCGUUGGGAUACCAUCCUUGCGAUAUUGGAAUUCUAACCUGCGCCUUUGAAUCAAGGCGGGGGACAUUGUUAGGUGGGCAGUUUGACUGGGGCGGUCGCCUCCUAAAGAGUAACGGAGGCGUUCAAAGGUUCGCUCAGCUUGAACGGAAAUCAAGCAAAAGAGUGCAAACGCAGAAGCGAGCCUAACUGCGAGACUGACGGGUCGAGCAGUAACGAAAGUUGGAGUUAGUGAUCCGGUGGUAUGUGAGUGGAAAUGCCAUCGCUCAACGGAUAAAAGUUACCCUGGGGAUAACAGGCUGAUCUCCCCCAAGAGUCCACAUCGACGGGGAGGUUUGGCACCUCGAUGUCGGCUCAUCGCAUCCUGGGGCUGUAUUCGGUCCCAAGGGUUUGGCUGUUCGCCAAUUAAAGCGGUACGCGAGCUGGGUUCAGAACGUCGUGAGACAGUUCGGUCCCUAUCUGUCGUGGGCGCAGGAUAUUUGAUGGGAGCUGUUCCUAGUACGAGAGGACCGGAGCGGACGUACCUCUGGCGCACCAGUUGUUCUGCCAAGGGCAUAGCUGGGCAACUAUGUACGGAUCGGAUAAACGCUGAAAGCAUCUAAGCGUGAAGCCGACCCAAAGAUAAGAUAUCCCAUUGUUUCAAACAAGUAAGACCCCUUGAAGACUACAAGGUUGAUAGGCAUGAUGUGUAAGUGGAGUGAUCCAUUCAGCAAGCAUGUACUAAUAGGUCGAGGGCUUGACCAG